This is a long non-coding RNA of Stegostoma tigrinum, 1871 nucleotides long. RefSeq lists it as uncharacterized. Lineage: Eukaryota; Metazoa; Chordata; Chondrichthyes; Orectolobiformes; Stegostomatidae. The record is from RefSeq and is a predicted model, not a curated record. The transcript is spliced from 2 exons.
CACAUGGCAGAGCUCAACGCACCCCAGACCGGUCUUGAACCCGCACUUUCUGGCGUGCGAGCACAGUACCGCAUCCAUUUGGCGGUUUGGCUCAUUCACGCUUCUGACUGGGAGCAAGUGCUUGCCUUUCGGUUUCAUUUGCUGGCAUUCGGUCAUUUCUGUUCACGUGCAGUGCAAUUUCAUAUUGCUCGCAAAAGGACCUGAAUCCUAGAUUCUCAGCUGAAACAAUAAAUCAUCUCCGGAUUGAUCUAUUCAUUCGCACGUUUUAGCAAUGAGGGCAACAACCCCAUUGAUCAGAUGGAAGGUCAGGUUUGACUCUGCAUCCACUGGACCUGGAAAUAGGAUCUGAAAAUGGAAAUUAACUUUGCUUACCAGUUGAGACAAGCUCAUGAUAACUUCAAGAUUUUUUUCAGACUGAGCUUUCACAAGUAAUUAAUAACGGAAGAAUUCCUGCUGAUUGUUACCUGACUUUUCAUUUGAGUAACCAAACCCCUUUUACGCCAGUCGACAGCUCUGAGUUUCAGAUCAUCAUCGCCUUCUUCAAUUUCAUUAGAUUCAAGAUCGUCAACAUCUUCAUUAAAAUCAUCUCCUUCAUCAACAUCUUCUUCAGUUGAGUUAUCAGCUUCAGCAUGGAAGAAUCCAUUCAUGAUUUCAUUAAACUCUUCAGUGGUCUAAUGAUCAAACACAAUGACACUCACUUAUGAAAUGAGUAACUUUUGAAUGGACAUUGCUCUGGACAAAGAUCAAUAACAACACAGAGAUACGUUGUCACCUGUUCACGGGGUUUAACCAACCGAGAGAUCAAAGCUGCUCUGGCACUCCACUCUAAUAGGCACCAUGCUGUGGUAACUUCUAAAACUUUUCACUGCAUUUUUCAUGCUGAAGUACAGAUGGCAAUAAAUUUCUGUUCUAUUCUGCUCUAUUCACUACUACUGCCUCAAAUAAAGAAAUGGAGAAAAGGUCGGUGAGUCAGUUUCUUCACAGUUCAAUGUAAACUUGAACAGAGGGCCUGAAGGUGAUAAAACAUUGAUCUGGACUAUUGUGCAAAUGUUCAAGAUGGCAGCAGCGAUUAUAAGUAUGCCUCACUUUGAAAUAAUUUGAGGAUAUGAUCAUUAAAAUGCUACAAAGCACUUUCAUUACGAGGGAAAUGGGUUAAAUCUCCCCCAUGAUGGUUGACUUUAUCAAUGUUUAACCAAGCUGUCUGGAUAAACAGCAUCUCACAUUCCACCAUCAACAUUGCCACAAACUCCUGGUCACUGCUAAAGCAGUAGGUCUGCAAUUGGCCUCAGGACCCUUGAAUCUAAGAGGAGAAAGUUAGACAGUGUUCCUACUUCUGAUCACUCUGAGAAGUAGUGUUACACAAGUAUCAGUUCUCACUGUAGCAGGUGAGGGCCAGGGGAAGAUCCAUGCAGCUGGUGUGUUGAGUACUGUCAACACUGUCGUCUUGAAUUUGGUGGUGAACCUGUCCAUUAUCUGCUUUAUAUUUGGAAAGAACUGCAGAUAUAUGAACAAUGCCCCAGCCCAUGGAACUACCUGUUUGACAGAAGCAGGCAGAAUGUAAUGGGACGUAAAAUGGAAAGGAGAACCUAUCUUGCCUGAAAUAUAUGUUGGUGAGAGAGAUUGAAUUCUUGGUUGAAAUGAAGUUUUAUGAUAACGUUGUUCAUUUAGUAACAGCACCACAAAAUUCAGCAUCUAGUAGAGCCCAGAUGAUACAUUUUGUACACACCAGAUCUCCAUACUCAUUCAUUCCCACAGUGAAUGUGUGUUUCCCCAUCGGGUACUCCAGGUUAUGUUGUUCAAUGUAUCUCAUGUUGUCCUCCCAUACCAUUCUCUUGUAGUUCUCUUCAUCCUGAAUAAAGAUGUUAGAUUAA